ACGUGAGAGGCAGAGACCUGACUCCACAGAGGAAACCGAGAGUGCCAUCUCCAGGAAAGCAGAUUUGCAGGUUGGAAGUUUGUUUACCAAUGUGGUGAUGUUAAGAGAAUCUGGCAGCUGGUUAUCUCCAUCAGUGGCACUCAAGUGAUGCAGACAGGAGGACCAGAGGAAACCAAGGUCAUC
Long non-coding RNA from Rattus rattus (black rat), 183 nucleotides. RefSeq lists it as uncharacterized. The transcript is spliced from 3 exons. NCBI's taxonomy places the organism in Eukaryota, Metazoa, Chordata, Mammalia, Rodentia, Muridae. The record is from RefSeq and is a predicted model, not a curated record.